Long non-coding RNA from Microtus oregoni (creeping vole), 558 nucleotides. RefSeq lists it as uncharacterized. Lineage: Eukaryota; Metazoa; Chordata; Mammalia; Rodentia; Cricetidae. The transcript is spliced from 3 exons. The record is from RefSeq and is a predicted model, not a curated record.
CAACACUGGAGCAGGCAAGGGAGAGGCGCACCUCGGCCAAGGGUCUGGGAAGCCCUUGGAAGCACACCCAACUUUGCUGUCCUUGUGGGAGCCUGUUCCAAAUGCAACUUGGACGCAAGGAGUAGUAUCCUUUAGUCUCUGAACUUGGCACCGUUGAUGUUUUGGAAGGCUGUGCGGUACCGACAUGAGUGUGCCCUACCUCUGCCUCUGAAAUGCCUUUGGAAACACUGGGACUCAGGUGAUGGGAGACACUGGCGUAGGUUCCGGCACACAAUUAAGAGCACGUUUGUUCCUAAGCGUUUUCAGUUUAGAUGUAAUGGUUACAGCAUGUGACCCGAGGCGGAGGUUUACAAGUUUAAGGCUUGACUGGGCUACACAGUGUGUUCAGAAUCAGCCUGGGCAACUGAGCCAGAAAUUAGCUGAAAAUCAAAAAGACUGGGGCUCUAGCUCAGGGCAGAACAAAGCCCUGGCUUCAUUGUCUUGAAAUGUAAUAAUUUCCCCCUAUGUAUUUGAUGUUUGUUCUUUUUCUUAUUAAUUUUUAAUAAAUUUUUAAUUUUU